RNAcentral lists this transfer RNA (104 nucleotides) under Aspergillus alliaceus. It matches the Rfam family "tRNA". From Rfam's summary of the family: Transfer RNA (tRNA) molecules are approximately 80 nucleotides in length. Their secondary structure includes four short double-helical elements and three loops (D, anti-codon, and T loops). The record is from Rfam by way of RNAcentral. Lineage: Eukaryota; Fungi; Ascomycota; Eurotiomycetes; Eurotiales; Aspergillaceae.
GGGGCAGUAGCUCAGUGGAUAGAGUGGAAGAUUGCAAUUUGCCGGUUCCGGCUUCUUCAUUGCAAGCUAUCUUUAGGUCGCCAGUUCAAUCCUGGCCUGUCCCU